RNAcentral lists this long non-coding RNA (371 nucleotides) under Vigna radiata. Its description in RNAcentral is "long non-coding RNA (VRAD_LNC008996)". The record is from RNAcentral. Lineage: Eukaryota; Viridiplantae; Streptophyta; Magnoliopsida; Fabales; Fabaceae.
UCGGAAUAAAGUGUUGCCACCAAUGAGAGAGAAAGCAAAAUGCACCUAUGAAGGAUAAGAAUACGAAAAUAAUUGGUCAAAAUAAACGAAAAUCGUACAUUAAAUAGUUAAAUAGCAUGCAUUUGUAUGAAAUGAAAGAAAGAUUACAUGUGAUGGUCGUCAAACUUCGUUCGAGAAAAGUUUGAGUAGAGAAGAGGGUCUUGCGUGCUAAGAUAAAGUGAAUGAAUUUUCAAUCUCCCGCUCAAAUUUUAUUCAAUUCACUGACUAACGUCUAACGUUGGGGGCAUUUGACGUUUUAUAUCCUUUUACGUCGAAUUACAAUUUUGAACAACGUUUAAUAAUUACAUUUAUUUACAAAAAUGUCACCGGUU